This 484-nucleotide ribosomal RNA is filed under the name uncultured bacterium. RNAcentral describes it as "partial 16S ribosomal RNA". It matches the Rfam family "Bacterial small subunit ribosomal RNA", at positions 29 to 507 of the family's 1533-position model. The record is from RNAcentral.
AUUGAACGCUGGCGGAAUGCUUUACACAUGCAAGUCGAGCGGCAGCGCGGCCUUCGGGCUGGCGGCGAGCGGCGAACGGGUGAGUAAUGCAUCGGAACAUGCCCAGUCGUGGGGGAUAACACUUCGAAAGAAGUGCUAAUACCGCAUACGUCCUGAGGGGGAAAGCGGGGGAUCGCAAGACCUCGCGCGAUUGGAGUGGCCGAUGUCAGAUUAGCUAGUUGGUGGGGUAAAGGCCUACCAAGGCGACGAUCUGUAGCUGGUCUGAGAGGAUGAUCAGCCACACUGGGACUGAGACACGGCCCAGACUCCUACGGGAGGCAGCAGUGGGGAAUUUUGGACAAAGGGGGCAACCCUGAUCCAGCCAGUCCGCGUGAGUGAAGAAGGCCUUCGGGUUGUAAAGCUCUUUCGGCAGGAACGAAACGGUGGGCUCUAACAUAGUCCGCUAAUGACGGUACCUGAAGAAGAAGCACCGGCUAACUACGUG